UAAGACAGAGGGUGCAAACGUUGCUCGGAAUUACUGGGCGUAAAGCGCGUGUAGGCGGACCGGAAAGUCGGGCGUGAAAUCCCUGGGCUCAACCCAGGAACUGCACUCGAAACUUCCGGCCUUGAGUGGUGGAGAGGGUAGUGGAAUUCCUGGUGUAGAGGUGAAAUUCGUAGAUAUCAGGAGGAACACCGGUGGCGAAGGCGGCUACCUGGACACUAACUGACGCUGAGACGCGAAAGCGUGGGGAGCAAACAGGAUUAGAUACCCUGGUAGUCCACGCUGUAAACGAUGGGCACUAGGUGUCGCGGGUAUUGACCCCUGCGGUGCCGUAGCAAACGCGUUAAGUGCCCCGCCUGGGGAGUACGGCCGCAAGGCUA
This 377-nucleotide ribosomal RNA is filed under the name uncultured bacterium. RNAcentral's name for it is "bacterial SSU rRNA". It matches the Rfam family "Bacterial small subunit ribosomal RNA", at positions 521 to 896 of the family's 1533-position model. The record is from RNAcentral.